RNAcentral lists this ribosomal RNA (508 nucleotides) under uncultured bacterium. RNAcentral describes it as "partial 16S ribosomal RNA". It matches the Rfam family "Bacterial small subunit ribosomal RNA", at positions 28 to 523 of the family's 1533-position model. The record is from RNAcentral.
GACGAACGCUGGCGGCGUGCCUAAUACAUGCAAGUCGAGCGGAGCUUAUCCUUCGGGGUAAGCUUAGCGGCGGACGGGUGAGUAACACGUAGGCAACCUGCCCCUUAGCCUGGGAUAACUACCGGAAACGGUAGCUAAUACCGGAUAAUUUCUUUUUUCUCCUGAAGAGAGAAUGAAAGGCGGAGCAAUCUGCCAUUUAGGGAUGGGCCUGCGGCGCAUUAGCUGGUUGGUGGGGUAACGGCUCACCAAGGCGACGAUGCGUAGCCGACCUGAGAGGGUGAACGGCCACACUGGGACUGAGACACGGCCCAGACUCCUACGGGAGGCAGCAGUAGGGAAUCUUCCGCAAUGGGCGAAAGCCUGACGGAGCAACGCCGCGUGAGUGAUAAAGGUUUUCGGAUCGUAAAGCUCUGUUGCCAGGGAAGAACGUCCGGUAGAGUAACUGCUACCGGAGUGACGGUAUCUGAGAAGAAAGCCCCGGCUAACUACGUGCCAGCCGCCGCUGUAA